Molecule: ribosomal RNA, 292 nt
Filed under: uncultured bacterium
Lineage: Bacteria
Description: partial 16S ribosomal RNA
Rfam family: Bacterial small subunit ribosomal RNA
Source: RNAcentral
GUGUCAGCAGCCGCGGUAAGACGAACCGUGCGAACGUUGUUCGGAAUCACUGGGCUUAAAGGGCGCGUAGGCGGCUUGCCAAGUCGGGGGUGAAAUACUUCAGCUUAACUGGAGAAGUGCCUUCGAUACUGGCAGGCUUGAGGGAGGUAGGGGUCUGCGGAACUUCUGGUGGAGCGGUGAAAUGCGUUGAUAUCAGAAGGAACGCCGGUGGCGAAAGCGGCGGACUGGACCUCUUCUGACGCUGAGGCGCGAAAGCUAGGGGAGCAAACGGGAUUAGAUACCCUCGUAGUCC